GUUGGGCCAUGCGGGUUCCCCGUAAUAAUUAUGUCCCAUCCCUUUAGCUAAUUUAGCUCUUAAUACAGGAUCAUUUAAGUCUGGUUUCUUUGUUAUUGGGAUAGGUGAACUCUUUAGGAUCCAUCCCCCAAAGGAACCGGACAUGAGAAUUUAUCAUCAUCCGGCUCGAGCAAGAGUGAAAGAAAUAAGACCGCGGAAGAUCCUUAAUAGAAUUAAGGUUUAUAAUGACUCAAUGACUCUAGGCAAGAAAAGCUUUAUCAGAUUCUCUUUUCCGAAGUUGCACCUACAACUACUCAUUGAAAAUAAUCCUAUUCUUAUGGGUAAAUGCUCAAUAUCCAAGUGGGCUUACAAAUUUGAUCAUGACCAAUUGCUUUGUGGAUUGUCUCAUGUCUCUUGAUUAGUUGGUAUUUAUCCCCUCAAUAUCGCAAGUUUCUUACCUCCAAACAAAAUAUUUACUUGUUACUAAUAAAAAAUCAAAAAGUUUAGCCUACAUUCUUCCUUAGAUCCCUUCUUUUACUCCGAUAGUAUUGCGGAUCACAAUCGAUGCAAAGAAAAUGAAUGCAUUUCCAUACUAUAAUAAAAAGGUAAGUGUAAUAAAUAGAGAACUGGAUCAUGUCACAUGACUUAUUCCAUUUCUACUCUAUGGGAUCUUACGGAGCCUGUUCAUGGAUGACAUGGUUGCGGUAUGAUCAUAGAAGAUAUUCUCCUCAAGUGAACCAGCCUAUCCUUCCUAGGUAGGGGACUUACAUGUUGAUUGGAUGCGGAGACACCUUUGGUUGUGAAUUCUAAUGUGGCAGAUCCAAUUCUUUAUCUGCAUGGCCAAAUCAAUAAUUCAAGUCACACACUCCCAUAAUCCGCCUUUUUUCUUUCAUAAAAUUAACUUCAACUAUUUGUAUUGUAUAAAAAUACUUUGGAGUUGAAGAGAAGUAUCCAAAUGACAUGUGUUAUUUUACAAUAACCCAUGCUUGUAGCAAUGAAAUACCAAAACCUACCCGAUAUGAUAUAUGAUAAUUAUAAUUCUCUAUGAUAUGCCUUCCCUAUAAAGGACCCGAAAUACCUUGCUUACGUAUCAUUGGAAAGUGCAUUAACAUAAAUACGGCAGUAAGCAGAGGCAGUACAAAGGUAUGUAAACUAUAAAAACGAGUCAAAGUGGAUUGGCCCACACUAGCACUUCCGCGUAAUAACUCCACUAAAGGCGAUCCUAUUACCGGAAUGGCGUCAGGUACACCUGUCACUAUUUUGACUGCCCAAUAGCCAAUUUGAUCCCAAGGCAAAGAAUAACCAGUUACACCAAAUGAUGCAGUCAAAACAGCCAAAACCACACCUGUGACCCAAGUUAAUUCACGGGUUUUUUUUAAAUCCCCCUGUGAGAUACACACGAAAUACAUGCAGGAUCAUCAUUAAAACCAUCAUACUUGCUGACCAUCGAUGAACUGAUCGGAUUAACCAACCAAAGUUGGCCUCGGUCAUUAUGUAUUGAACCGAGGAAAAAGCCUCUGUAACGGUUGGUCGGUAGUAAAAAGUCAUAGCAAAACCGGUAGCGACUUGUACUAGAAAACAAGUAAGUGUAAUUCCCCCUAAACAAUAAAAUAUGUUGACAUGGGGAGGAACAUAUUUACUAGUUAUAUCAUCUGCAAUUGCCUGAAUCUCAAGACGUUCCUCAAACCAAUCAUAUACUUUAUUGAGAUAGGUAACUAACCCGAGUCCCCCUCUAAGAGCCGUAUAUGAAAAUUUCAUCUCGUACGGCUCAAGCAGAAACACAAAAAUUUUCAACGAAUAUUAGAAAAAAGGUUCAAAACUUCAUCAGCCACUGAAUUGGGUCGAUUUGCCUUGAAGAUAUCAAAUAAGAAAAAUCCGGAAUAUCUUCUUUGUGAUGAUAAUGCCAAAAAAUCUCAAGUUGGCGCGUCUUUCUUUCUUCCCUUCCCUUAUGUUGGUCAUUAGAGGCUUCUUGACUUUUCUCUUCCCUAUAAAGGAUUUGUUUUUUUAUGCGUAAUAUAGAAAUUAUCUUGUUGAGAUCCUAUGAAUCAGUUCAAUUAAAACCUUAGAUUCAUACUAGAGCCACGAUGAUUUAGUCUCAAGCUAAACAAAAGGCAAGGGUUCUUCGAAUAAGAACCGCUUGAUAAUCAUUUAUUGAAUCAGUGUAAUGACUCGACAAAAUCGAGAGAAAAAAAAUUGUCUUUUGGGCAAACAAAAUUGGAAGGAAGAAAAUUUCUUUNNN
Molecule: long non-coding RNA, 2218 nt
Filed under: Triticum aestivum (bread wheat)
Lineage: Eukaryota; Viridiplantae; Streptophyta; Magnoliopsida; Poales; Poaceae
Description: long non-coding RNA (TAES_LNC017967)
Source: RNAcentral